RNAcentral lists this long non-coding RNA (833 nucleotides) under Calidris pugnax (ruff). RNAcentral describes it as "lncRNA (ENSCPUG00000002731.1)". Lineage: Eukaryota; Metazoa; Chordata; Aves; Charadriiformes; Scolopacidae. The record is from RNAcentral.
CUUGCCACCUCUUAUUUAUCCAUAUGGUUUUACUUUAGAAAAAUACAAUGCAAUAUUCUUAUCUUAAAAUAAUAAAUCUUGUUUUUCAGAUAGUAUAAAUUAGCACAGAAGACCAAUACCUCCCUUGCAAAGGAAGUUGAUUAUCUUCAAUAGCCUCUCAAGUAAGGACCACUUUCAUUACAGGAGAUCUACAUUGUAAUCAGCUGAUGAAACAGAGGUGGGAGGAUUGUCAUGAGCUCUGUUUCUGAAAUCAGAGAGAAGCAACUGCAGAUCUAUGGAGGAAAAAAAGCCAUCAAGUUGGUUUCUUGCUCUCUACCUGAACAAGUGUGUUGUGAUUGCAGAGGCGUGAACCAGAAGGGCAAAGGAUCCAGCAGUAAAAAGAACAACCUGUCAUCCUUUCAGUAUUCUCUGUCCUGAAAUUGCUGUGGAAAUGUGGCAGAUGGGGCUCCAGGUGCCACAGAGCCAACGCUUCCUCUACAUUAGGUAGGUUUUCCCCAGUCAGACCUUUGCUCAAUACUCAUCUGUUGUUUCCCCUUCCCCACUUAUCUCCCAGUGGCUCCUCUAUAAUCCUCUCUACCCCAGUGUGUGUUUGCAUGAUCCAUACAUACAAAUGUACCUAUGUAGCAGGAGGUUCAAGCAGGAGAUCUGAGACCCUGAUGUUCCAGAGGUUUCUGUAUGCAGAGCAUCUGUGGUUGUGUAAAGAAAGAACGAGGAAUUAGAGGACAAAAGAUAUUCUAAAACUAGGUAAGGCCUGUUUUAUUUCACAGUGUACCAGCUUUGCAGUCAGAUUUUCUGUUUUCCCAGGUGUCAGGCUGCCACCUGUGUUUGCAAAA